Molecule: long non-coding RNA, 158 nt
Organism: Octopus sinensis (East Asian common octopus)
Lineage: Eukaryota; Metazoa; Mollusca; Cephalopoda; Octopoda; Octopodidae
Exons: 3
Source: RefSeq, a predicted model, not a curated record
UAUAUAGAAUUUUUAAUUUUAGUGUUACUUCAUAUAAACUUGAUUCUGUUGUAAUUGACUUCAGAUACAAUAACCUUGUUAUUAAUAUUUCUAAGGGGAUGGAUGGUAUUAGCUAAAUUAAUGUUGUAUUAGUAAAUGAAUUAAUAUUUUUGUAGAUU